AUAUUUUGAUAAAGAUAUUUUAUUAACUUUGGUUUUUAUCACAGAAAUAUAAAGAAAUACAUUGUAAUGUAACAAUUGACAUGGACGGAUCUCUUCUUAGUAUUCUACACUAUUUAUAAUGGGAGUAGCAUAUCAGAUCUGAGCAUUGUCAAAAUAUACAGAGAUUUAAACUUGCUGUGGACAGUGUAGAAUAAUCUAAGCAAACGUUUUGGCAAUUACUAUGUACAAUUAAAGUUUAAACAAAAUAUUUACAAGUGAGACAAAUUAAGCUCAAAUGAUGUUUACACAAUGCAAUGACAAUAUUGUAAGCUUCAUUGGUAAAUGGGUAAAGUGAGAAGUAUUAUAGCUGCCUGUUAGGUGUACAAGAAUCACACUUCAGUUCAAAAUAAAUCCCUGCAUCCAAUCCAGUCUGGCCACCACAUCACUUAGUAAACAACAAAAGUACAUCAAAUAUUCAAAUCCUUACAAAAGCGUUUCAACAGUAAUGUCUUCAGAAAAUGACCGGUGUGGUGAACAGCAUUCAUGAAAUGCUUCUUCAAUGUGUAAGAGAGAAUCCAUGUAGCUUUAGGACAUCUAACUUGCUAUAUGAGCAAAGUCUUUUAAUAUUUUUUCACCCUCAAACGCCUGAUUUCAACUUCAACUAUUUUGUAGCAUUCAUCCAGCCACAUUAUGUAAUAUUUCCCUUGUUAAUAUUAGGCAGGAUACGCUAUGUACUUGUAAACAGUACACUCUGACUUUUUAAUAUGUAAUUUUAUGGAACUAGUCAAUUGUAAAUUAUAAUAUUUGUACACAUUAAAUGUAUGUAUAAAACUUGUAUCUUUUUCUAUAUUACAAAUACACUCUACAACCCUUAAUAGAGCCAUAAUAUAUGAGUUAGGAAUCUCUGUUAUAUUUGUAAAGUAUACAUUUUUUAACAGCAAUUAUUCAAUAUCUGUACUUUCAUACAAAAAUGAUGCUAGACAAAACCAAGAGGUCUGCCCAGACUGAUUAUUCACUAUUUCAUAAAUGUAAAGAUAAUAAAAAUAUAUUGAUGAACUAUAUACAAGUAUAUAUUUUUUUGUUCAGAAGAUUAUAUUAAUGAAUUUAGUAUUCACUACACAUGCAUAGUGUGUGAAAUAAAUCCAACUGUUGUCUCUGAAAACUGUCCAAAACUGUUGUACUUGAACUAAGCAUGGGUAACACAAUAGUGAAGAUCAUAAGACUGUACAUGUUCUGGA
Molecule: non-coding RNA, 1217 nt
Organism: Biomphalaria pfeifferi
Lineage: Eukaryota; Metazoa; Mollusca; Gastropoda; Planorbidae
Source: the annotation of a GenBank genome assembly